Molecule: long non-coding RNA, 5318 nt
Organism: Triplophysa rosa
Lineage: Eukaryota; Metazoa; Chordata; Actinopteri; Cypriniformes; Nemacheilidae
Exons: 3
Source: RefSeq, a predicted model, not a curated record
AGGUUAAGGGAUUUGGAAGAUCAGCUUCAGCAUUUCCAAACCACAUCCUCAAAAACCUCCCCAGACCUGAAAUUCAAGGUGGAGAACUUCUUCUGUAUGGGGUCUCCUCUGGCUGUGUUCUUGGCUUUGCGAGGUGUCCGUCCUGGAUCCAACGGAACACAGGACCACAUUCUACCCAAAUCCAUCUGUCAGCGGCUUUUCAACAUUUUCCAUCCCACAGAUCCUGUAGCAUACAGACUGGAGCCCCUCAUUUUAAAGCAUUAUAGUAAUAUAGCACCUGUCCAGAUCCACUGGUGAGUACAAUGUGAGGAAAACAAAAAAAAUUGUGAACAUUGUUUAACUUGUGUUCUCAUAAACAACCCGAUUGGUAAUGAUAAAAAAAACCUAGUAAAGUACCGUAAAGCUACCAUAAUGACUGUUAAAUACACAAAUUUGCUGUUCACACAGUCUUAAACUGGUAAGAUUAUUACUUUACUAUUACUUAUUUCUUUUCAUUUGAUUUAUUUUUCACAUGUUAUACAGCUAGGUCCAUAUACUGUAUAUUUGGACACAUUUUUCCUAUUUUAGCUGUUUACCAAAAUAUUCAAGUUACAAUUAUACAAUCAAUAGUGGCUUAAAAUGCACACUCUCAGCUUUAUUUUGAAAACAGCUUUUAAUUGGACUUUUUCUAAUUAGUUUAGCUCCCUUGAAAAGGGGGGGGGGGCUACAUAUUAAAGCGUCAUGAAACCUCCACCCUUUCAGCUACAUUCUACCUCACUGUCGUUUUUGAAAAAUGCAAUUAAAAUGGACAUGAACGCUGUGAGAAGAGUGAGUGGGGGAGUGGGAGGGGCAAUAGAGAAAGUGAUCUGAUUCCAUAUCUUAAAAUAUAUUAGUCAUUGUCUGUUUUAUACAGUUUAUGGUCACUACACAUAUCAUACUUUCAAGCCACAUCGGUUUUACAGAAACCACUAAAUGUAAUAUGAGUAUUUAUUUUUAACAAAAUGCAAGUAAUACUGGUCUAGUUAAAAUAGGACAGUUACCGCAUUUGAAGAGAUGGAAAAGUCCUCAGGUCAUGGUAAGGUAUUCCUGAGUCCUGACACAGACUGCCUUCAUGAGCGAGUCCAAACGUCUUCAUUUCUAAAAGCUUUCCCGAGUAAAACCCAGUUUGCUACUGUUCCGGCCUUACUCACAUCCAUGAUGAGCGGGCUUCAAAGUUUAAACCGGGGAACGUUCUGGCAUGGGAGACAGGCACUCUAACGAGGCGACUCGCAUUCCACUGGUCGGGAAACCCCCUUUCGUCAGUGUCGGAAGUCCCCUAACUCCGUCUGUUUGACUUCUGAAUGUGAGGUCAAACACUCCAAAUGGCCCUCCGCGCCUAUUUCUGUGCGCCACAAUUUCAACAACUGUCAUGUAUUUAUCACUUUCAGUGGAGAAGACCUUCCCCCAUUUAUAGCCUAUAGUGCAUUUCACAUAAAAAUAUACUUUUAUAUAUAAUAUCGGAAUAUGUAUUUUUUGCAACUCCUGGUAAGUGUUCUGCUUUUUCUUAAUUUAUCCAUCGACUUACAAGUUGGGUAAACAAUGGAAGCAAUUAGGUCAACAUUAGGAUAACAAAAAGCAUAAGUGCAUUAAAACAUGUCUCACAAAGCCUAAUACAGUGUACAGAGCUACGGUUUUUUAAAAUAUAUAUAGAUAGAAUAGAAAAGAUAUAGAAGUCAGAAAUGAUCGGUCAGGUGCUGACGGACGAGAUGUGUUUUCAGCCGAUUCUUAAAGAUGGCCACAGAAUCUGCUGAUCUUGUAGCAGCAGGCAGAUCAUUCCACAAAUGUGGAACCGAUCCAGAGAAGGUUUGUGAGAGUGUUUUUUUUUACCUUUUUGGGAUGGCACCACAAGACGUUGUUCGUUUGCAGUGUAAGGAUCUGGCGGGUACAUAAGUCUGCAGUAGUGAAUGAAGAUAAGUGGGCGCCAAACCAGUGGUGGUCUUGUAGGCGAGGAGCAGAGUCUUAAAUUUGAUGCGAGCGACUAUAGGAAGCCAAUGUAACUUAAAGAAGAGAGGGGUGACGUGUGCUCUCUUCGGUUCAUUGAAGACCACUCUUGCCGCUGCAUUCUGGAUCAUCUGUAGAGAUUUUGUUGUGCAAACAGGAAGUCCAGCUAGUAGCGCAUUGCAAUAGUCCAGUCUAGACAGAACAAGAGCCUGGACUAGGACCUGCGUAGCAUGCUCUGAUAGGAAAUGUCUAAUUUUCCUGAUAUUGUAGAGGAUGAAUCUACAGCACCGAGUGGUGCUGGCAACCUGAUCUGUGAAAUUUAGCUGAUCAUCGAUCACCACUCCCAGGUUUCUGGCCAUUCUGGAAGAUGUGAUGGUUGAUGAGCCCAGUUGAAUGGAGAAGUUGUGAUGGAUCUUGGCAACUUGGCAAUACGCACUGCAUAGAACGGCUCCUAUAAAAUACAAACGGAAUAGUCGUAGUGUAUGGUAUGGAUACUCAGUUUCAGAUUUGAAAGCGAGCGUCGUCGAGCGAUUUAACAGAACGUUAAAAAGUUGUAUGUGGAGAUUUUUAACCGCCACAUAGAUGUUUUACAAGACAUUACGCAAGGCUACAACAGCAGUUUUGACCGGAGUAUUAGAAUGCGACCGAUCGACGUAUGCAGAGAAAAUGAGGCUUUCGUGUUUCAAAAUUUGCACGGCGGUACAAAGAACGAUUUGCGAUCGUUUAAAUUUAAAGUCUGCAACGUUGUGAGGAUUUCUAAAGUGAGAGGGGUGUUCGCCAAAGGCUACGAGCAGAACUACACAGAAGAAUUUUUCACCGUAGCGGUCUGCCUACCGCAACAGCCGCCGGUCUACCAACUGUCCGAUUACGACGGAGAAAUCAUCGACAGAGUUUUUUACGAGGAAGAGUUACAAAAUACAAUCGUGAGCAAAGACAAGACGUUUAAAGGGGAAAAGAUUUUAGGACAGAAAAAACAGGGCUGAAAUACGCUCAUUUUAGUCAAAUGGGUGGGAUGGCCCUCGAAAUUUAACAGCUAUGUAGACAAAAAAGUUCUGGUGGACUUGCAAGUGCCUUAAAACCUGCCUAGAAUCAUUUGCGAUGUCAUUCGAGUCAACGGCUAACAUGGAUGACGAGGGGUUCUACGUUACGCUCCCGUGCAAUGCUUCUAUGUCGGUCUACCCUGAAAAUCGGAUAUCUAGUUACAGAACCAAACUAGCCUCUUCUAUCAACUUGAAAGGACGAUGGCAUGUAGGAUUGUGCGAGAUCGAAUAUCCUAGAAGCUGGUACAACUUUAAUCGGGAAGAUGGUGGUUUUACGUUACACAUCCAGCCCACCAGCGCCGGAUCAAAGUUUACCAUCUGUGAUCGUAAAAAACACAGCAACCUCUCAGCAGGACUUCGAGCAGGCACCGACGAGUCUGGGCAAAUGGGCCUGUCUAAACACCCCCCCCCCGGACUUCAAAGGAGGUUCGAGGGGGAGGACAGGGCUGUUCACCAAAGUGACAAAAACCAUUUCGCCCACAAGCUGAGAGCCUCGGUUUAUUCCAAAAGAACCUCUCUUUCUCUCUUUUUAGCAACAAAAGACUGGUUUAAAGUGCAUAUCCGUAUACCCCCACGUUGUAUGUUUGUCUCCCCGUUAUUCACCUUCAAUAUAUAUCCUCCAAUGCAUGUGUGCGUCGUGGUAUUUCCAUUUAUAUUUACAUUCUUGUACAAACUACAGGUCAGUGUGAUUGUAACCCUUUCAUGGGUCAUAUCAAAAUGUUCCUCUUUUCAUUUCUUAGAAUAUGGUGUAUAGCACAGUAAUGUAUUUUUAUACCAUGUUCACUUUAUUUUAUUCUAAGACUAUCUACUGCUCCAAACUCCCAGCAACCGUAAAGGCAAAUGAGCUGGCGUGCCGGACAAAGAAACAUGUUUUCGCGCCCAAAACGAUCUCAUCACAUUGGAUCGCCCACCUCGGAGGGGCGUGACGCCCUCGGGGUUAAAACAUCUGUCCGCUCGCUUGCGUUUGCUCGUUUGUGUUCUUUCAACCUCUCGAGACCUGUCUCUCCUCAGAGAUAGCCUCUUCCAGCAGUUUGUGUCAGCUAAAUCCAACGGACUCAUGGCUUGCUCUGAACGCAUCAGGACCCUUUGAUACGCGCGCCAGCACGUGUCCCGAGAAACAAAGAAGCAAAUGCAAGUAUCUGAACUAUUGCUAACCAGUUGCGUAUAAGCUUUGCCCCUUUUAAAUAAGGAGUUUGUCCUCGAUGGUUCGUGCAGAUGUGAAUAGCUGAUUUAAUACUGCCAUUUUCUUUGCUUUAUCUAUUUCUUUCAUUCUUUACUGCUUUUACGUUGUAUGUUUGUUUGUUAGUGUUUGUUUCUUUGUUAGUAGUUGGUUUUAGUUCCCUCGUAGUGUAGAUAAAUAAACCGCAUGUGUAUCCACGCUCGAAUUGUUUCUGUGUUUAUUUAUCACAUAUCAACGUCACUUAAACUGCUUGAUUUCGUUAAGAUUUCUGAAGUGGUACUGUACUACAGUGAGAAUAUUGUUUUUCCAAGACCAGGAAAGUAAUAUGUCUUAGAUUUGAUAUACGAUCUGCUGAUCACUCGCGGGACGAGUGUAUUUAGUUUGUCGCUGUCAUUAGCUCUGCUGCAUCAGGUAAAGUGUAUAAAAUAAUUAAUGGUUAAUCACCAUUAAUUAUUUGUAGGUUACUGUGUUUAAACUCAUAGUUUCCUCGAAAUACAUGCAUUGGUGGAGAAUCCGCGGGCAGUUUUAAACCUUGUUUUGUGAGCAGAACUCAGUGACUAUUCAUGUGUGUUUCUAUGGGUGUUACUGAAACCGAAUACUCUUUUAAAUGGCACUUUAUGUAUGAAUGAAGGUGUGGACCCCACCAACCUAUCCUUGGCAGACUCUUGAGCUUCUCGCAGAGAAAACCUCAGCCUCUGUCAAAGAGUUAGUGACGAUAUAAAGACGAAGAAAUCUCUUUAUAGCGCACUAUGCUAUUAUUUAACCACCCUAAAUUGAGCGAAGAAAUCCUCUUUUAGCACGAAGGAAAUAGUGGAGCGAAUUUCCUCCCUAGUUCAUGCACGGCCGAAUUUUGUGUAUAUCGAAGCAUUACGUGUUCCAAUGCUUUUUAUCUAAGACACCGCUCCCCGAAGUUUAACCAUUAGACUAGCUAACUAAUGCGUGCUUUUUUGUUUCCUCUUUUUGAGUAGACGAGGCGGAAGGAUACUGUAUAUGUAUUUUAUUGUAUAUUGUAUAGUUAAACAGUAGAUGACGACCGUUUAAAGGGGAGUGUGAUAAAAAUCUUGAUCAAGUUAAUUGUACGACGGCAAAUUCAAUUCAAUUUUAUUUAUAUAGCGCUUUUCACAAUGUGCAUUGUUCCA